Molecule: ribosomal RNA, 253 nt
Filed under: uncultured bacterium
Lineage: Bacteria
Description: partial 16S ribosomal RNA
Rfam family: Bacterial small subunit ribosomal RNA
Source: RNAcentral
GACGAGGGACCCUAGCGUUGUUCGGAAUCAUUGGGCGUAAAGCGGGUGUAGGUGGCUUUGUAAGUCAGGUGUGAAAGCCCUGGGCUCAACCCAGGAAGUGCAUUUGAUACUGCGAAGCUUGAGUGCCGGAGAGGUUACUGGAAUACCUGGUGUAGUGGUGAAAUACGCAGAUAUCAGGAGGAACACCGAUGGCGAAGGCAGGUCUCUGGGCAUUAACUGACGCUGAGGAGCGAAAGCAUGGGGAGCGAACAGG